This 206-nucleotide microRNA precursor is filed under the name Oryza brachyantha (malo sina). Its description in RNAcentral is "MIR812 microRNA precursor family". It matches the Rfam family "MIR812 microRNA precursor family". The record is from Rfam by way of RNAcentral. Lineage: Eukaryota; Viridiplantae; Streptophyta; Magnoliopsida; Poales; Poaceae.
AAUAAACCAAUUUUUACUUUUUACCUUUAAUUUUUGACUCUUCGUCUUAUUUAAAAUUUUUUUGCGAUUGAUAUUUUUGUUUUUAUUAGAUGAUAAAUCAUAAAUAGUACUUUACGUGUGACUAAUUUUUUUCUAAUUUCCUAAAAUUUUUUCAAAUAAGACGGAUGGUCAAAUGUUAGACACAGAAAUCGAAAAGUUCGUUUUUU